Molecule: ribosomal RNA, 486 nt
Filed under: uncultured bacterium
Lineage: Bacteria
Description: partial 16S ribosomal RNA
Rfam family: Bacterial small subunit ribosomal RNA
Source: RNAcentral
AUUGAACGCUGGCGGCAUGCCUUACACAUGCAAGUCGAACGGCAGCACGGGUGCUUGCACCUGGUGGCGAGUGGCGAACGGGUGAGUAAUACAUCGGAACAUGUCCUGUAGUGGGGGAUAGCCCGGCGAAAGCCGGAUUAAUACCGCAUACGAUCUACGGAUGAAAGCGGGGGACCUUCGGGCCUCGCGCUAUAGGGUUGGCCGGUGGCUGAUUAGCUAGUUGGUGGGGUAAAGGCCUACCAAGGCGACGAUCAGUAGCUGGUCUGAGAGGACGACCAGCCACACUGGGACUGAGACACGGCCCAGACUCUUACGGGAGGCAGCAGUGGGGAAUUUUGGACAAUGGGCGAAAGCCUGAUCCAGCAAUGCCGCGUGUGUGAAGAAGGCCUUCGGGUUGUAAAGCACUUUUGUCCGGAAAGAAAUCCUUGGCCCUAAUACGGUCGGGGGAUGACGGUACCGGAAGAAUAAGCACCGGCUAACUACGUG